Molecule: long non-coding RNA, 1719 nt
Filed under: Marmota monax (woodchuck)
Lineage: Eukaryota; Metazoa; Chordata; Mammalia; Rodentia; Sciuridae
Source: RNAcentral
GUCAAUAGAGAAAUCCUCCUUACAUGGAGCAACUUCAUGAUGUGGCUCUUCUCUUUAACUUGUUUAUGUUUUUCCUCCUUGAAAAUGAGCUGAGAACCUUCUUUUUUUUUAAUUUUUUAUUGUCUAAUCCAAGGUCAAAGAUUUAUGCAUACAUUUUCUUCUUAGAAUUUUGAGAUUUUAGCUCUCACAUUUAUAUCUGACUCAUUUUGAGUUAAUUUUUGUAUAUGUUGUGAUAUAAAGGUCAAACUUCAAGAAUAUUCAGUUUCCCAGAACCAAUUAAUAAAAAGAUCAUUAUUUUCCUUUGUCAAAAAAUUAGUUGACUAGGACUGAGGUUGUGGCUCAGCGGCAGAGUGCUUGCCUAGCAUGAGGCAAGCCCAUGAGGCACUAAGACAAUAAGUUCAAUCCUAAGCACUACAUAAAAAUAAAAUAAAGAUAUUGUGUCGACCUAAAACUAAAAAACUAAUAAAAAAUAGUUGACCAUAAAUAUAUGGGUUUAUUUCUGGACUUACAAUUGGAUACCAUCUGACAAGAACAAUUUUAAAGGAGGAAACUUUAUUUGGGGCCUCAUGGUUUCAGAGGUCUCAGUCCAUAGACAGCUGGCUCCAAUCCUCAGGGCUCCAGGUAAGAUAGGACAACAUGGCAGAGAGUGUGAUGGAGGAAAGUGGCUCAAGACCUCACACCAGGAGACAGAGACAGAGACUCCAAUGGCCAGGGACAAAGUAUAUAUCCCAAAGGCACACUCCCAGUGCCCACCUCCUCUAGCCACACCCUACCUGCUUUCAGUUACCACUCAGUUAAUCCCUAUCAAGGGAUUAAUUCACCGAUUGGGUUAAGGCUGUCAUAACCCAAUAAUUUAACCUCUAAAUCUUGUUGCAUGGUCUCACACAUGAACUUCUGGGAGAUACUCCAUAUCUAAACUAUAACAGCUUGUGUUCAAUAAAUACAUUUCCCAUGACUGAUAGAUUCCAACUACUAAAUGACAAAUAUUUAAUCACUUCUACCUAACAGUCUAAAUUAAUGUUAUUAUAAAUUUAUACAAAUGGCAGAUUAAGUCAGUAAUUUUAUUGAAGGUCAUCAUUCCAUCUCUCCUUAUUAAUCAAUUCAUUAUAUUUUAUAUUAUAAUUCUCAUGGAUCUUCUGACAUUGUUGAAUCUGCUGAUCACCCACAUCUUACAAUUCCCUUGUCUUUUGUCAGAAUACCUUACUGAAAGGGAAUGCAGUCAUUGCUAUAUGUUUCAAUAACAUCUUAAAAGCUGGCAUGUCCUACACAGCAAUAACAAAAUAACAGCAAGAAAAAAAAUGGGACCAUGGAACUGAAUACUUGCUAUAAGUUGAUGCCACUUAAAGUAUUGAAACUAUUUUUUAAUGCACAGUAAGAGUUGUUUGCUUGUUUGCUAAAUACAACAAUCUACUCUCUGUCAAAAAAAUGUCAAAUUGUUUUCACUUUAAUGUUAUCAUUCCCUGUGAUUUGAAUCCUUUCAAAUUUCAUGUGUAUUCAUGUAUGUGCAUAUAUACAUGCAUGAUAUGCAUUCGAGACCACCGUCUACAUCAAAAUGAAGCUCUGAAUUGGGUUAGUGAAGCACAAUUUUACAUGAAGGAAGUAGACAACUUUAUGAGCUAUUAUGUUUUAUGUGAAAUUAAAAUUUGACAACCCUCUACAACCUGUAAAAUAUUAUCUUAUUAACCAAACAAUAAACUCAAGCAAGGUAGACACAGUUCU